RNAcentral lists this ribosomal RNA (253 nucleotides) under uncultured microorganism. Its description in RNAcentral is "partial 16S ribosomal RNA". It matches the Rfam family "Bacterial small subunit ribosomal RNA", at positions 524 to 776 of the family's 1533-position model. The record is from RNAcentral.
UACGGAGGGUGCGAGCGUUAUUCGGAAUCACUGGGCGUAAAGCGCGCGUAGGCGGGUUGACAAGUCAGGUGUGAAAUCCCACGGCUCAACCGUGGAAUUGCACUUGAUACUGUUGACCUAGAGUCUGGCAGAGGGUGGCGGAAUUCCCAGUGUAGAGGUGAAAUUCGUAGAUAUUGGGAGGAACACCAGAGGCGAAGGCGGCCACCUGGACCAACACUGACACUGAGGUGCGAAAGCGUGGGGAGCAAACAGG